GGCGGAGUAGGGAGGUCGCCAUAUUGCAUCCAACAGCUGACGGUUUGCAUUUUGGAGCAUGGCAAAAACUACUCCGAAACAACAGAUUCAUUUUAUUAUCCAAAAUGUAAGUCAUAAUUAACCGAUUGAGUGUAGUGAAUACGAUGGAUGAAGUGAAGGAGGCAGAGAGUGUGAUCUCCACCGUUGAUGUUUUUUCCUGAAUAAUCGUCACAUAAUUGCAACUGAAUGACAAAGCUGUUUUAGAACAAUUCCAACAAUUUGUGGAAGUGAUCUUGCAGCAGUUAACAGUGAAAAAAUUGAGAUGGAUUUCUUCCAGGUACGGAUGAAAUACCUCGACCGAUUUCAUCGAAAAAGUGUCCGAAAGAAAUCUUCUUUCCAAUCAAUCUCACGAUCUCAUCUACAGGAGCAGGGUGCAAAUAUUGUUAUCUCUUCGUGACACUGACGUAUGUUAUUCUACUGAGAAAAUGUGGAAUGACAUUCCAAUAUUAGAAAUCGAAGUCGUGGUAGAGCAGCCGAUGUUUGGAGGAAUUGUCUUUUUAAUGAACCGAGCCAAUGGAAAAAGUAUGAUUGUACUUGUGGGAGCUAUAUCCAACCCAUUUCGAUCUUGGAGCCGGAUAUUACUAAAUCAUUGAUCACAUCAAACAAGUUACUUUUACCUCUGGAGUUUCAUGAAGUUUUAAAAAAGGUGCAAUGUCGCCGACCUCUUUGUAGCAGCAGAUACAAUGUACAGACAACACCCAAUUUCCAUCUAUUCAUUCAUUUGAAGCGAUCAACUAAGUGUUUGCUGGGGAAUAUAUUUAAAAUGAUUGAAAUGGGCGAUCAGUAUCAAAUUGCUGGGGUCAUCAGUGUAUUUUAUGACCGAUACGUGGCCUUUAGUUAAGUGAAUGGAAAGUGGUGGUUGUACGACAACCAGCAGCCAAACAUCCAAAUGACAUCAGGGGAGGAAUUCUGCGCGUUUUAUGUUAACAUAAACUCUCAUUAUUUCGCUUCCGCCAGGUGGAGCGCAGGCUUUAUUUAUGUCGUAUUUCCAAUUGGUUUUGGAACGUUUGUUUGGCGAAUAAUGAGGGGAGGGAUAAGAAUUACAGUAUGGCCGCCCCGCGCUUUUAU
Long non-coding RNA from Fopius arisanus, 1107 nucleotides. RefSeq lists it as uncharacterized. The record is from RefSeq and is a predicted model, not a curated record. NCBI's taxonomy places the organism in Eukaryota, Metazoa, Arthropoda, Insecta, Hymenoptera, Braconidae. The transcript is spliced from 4 exons.